This 492-nucleotide ribosomal RNA is filed under the name uncultured bacterium. Its description in RNAcentral is "partial 16S ribosomal RNA". It matches the Rfam family "Bacterial small subunit ribosomal RNA", at positions 29 to 507 of the family's 1533-position model. The record is from RNAcentral.
AGUGAACGCUGGCGGUAGGCCUAACACAUGCAAGUCGAACGGCAGCACAGUAAGAGCUUGCUCUUACGGGUGGCGAGUGGCGGACGGGUGAGGCAUACAUCGGAAUCUACUUUUUCGUGGGUGAUAACGUAGGGAAACUUACGCUACUACCGCAUACGACCUACGGGUGAAAGCAGGAGAUCUUCGGACCUUGCGCGAUUGAAUGAGCCGAUGUCGGAUUAGCUAGUUGGCGGGGUAAAGGCCCACCAAGGCGACGAUCCGUAGCUGGUCUGAGAGGAUGAUCAGCCACACUGGAACUGAGACACGGUCCAGACUCCUACGGGAGGCAGCAGUGGGGAAUAUUGGACAAUGGGCGCAAGCCUGAUCCAGCCAUACCGCGUGGGUGAAGAAGGCCUUCGGGUUGUAAAACCCUUUUGUUGGGAAAGAAAAGCAGCAGGUUAAAACCCCGCUGUUCUGACGGUACCCAAAGAAUAAGCACCGGCUAAAUUAGUG